This is a non-coding RNA of Firmicutes bacterium CAG:882, 262 nucleotides long. It matches the Rfam family "Bacterial large signal recognition particle RNA". From Rfam's summary of the family: The signal recognition particle (SRP) is a universally conserved ribonucleoprotein involved in the co-translational targeting of proteins to membranes. Archaeal SRP consists of a 7S RNA and homologues of the eukaryotic SRP19 and SRP54 proteins. In most bacteria, the SRP consists of a 4.5S RNA and the Ffh protein (a homologue of the eukaryotic SRP54 protein). NCBI's taxonomy places the organism in Bacteria, Bacillati, Bacillota. The record is from Rfam.
CCGUGCAGCCGGGGAGAUAGCGGUGCCCUGUACCUGCAAUCCGCUACAGCAGGGGUGAUGUCUUUCCUAGGGAAGCCCGCAGAGAGGCUGCCCGGUAUAAGUGACGUUGAUAUCUUGGUCCUACGCAAUAGGAAUCUGUGAACCAUGUCAGGUCGGGAACGAAGCAGCAUUAAGCAGAAGCUCUUAUGUGACGUGGGGGCGCCGGGGUUGAGUUGGCUGUAUCGGUAACGCUCUUUGUGCCUUCACGAAGAAAGACGCACGG